RNAcentral lists this ribosomal RNA (827 nucleotides) under Leifsonia sp. AW02J23. RNAcentral's name for it is "bacterial SSU rRNA". It matches the Rfam family "Bacterial small subunit ribosomal RNA", at positions 567 to 1391 of the family's 1533-position model. The record is from RNAcentral. Lineage: Bacteria; Bacillati; Actinomycetota; Actinomycetes; Micrococcales; Microbacteriaceae.
GCUCGUAGGCGGUUUGUCGCGUCUGCUGUGAAAACUGGGGGNUNNNCCCCCAGCCUGCAGUGGGUACGGGCAGACUAGAGUGCGGUAGGGGAGAUUGGAAUUCCUGGUGUAGCGGUGGAAUGCGCAGAUAUCAGGAGGAACACCAAUGGCGAAGGCAGAUCUCUGGGCCGUUACUGACGCUGAGGAGCGAAAGCAUGGGGAGCGAACAGGAUUAGAUACCCUGGUAGUCCAUGCCGUAAACGUUGGGAACUAGAUGUAGGGGCCAUUCCACGGUUUCUGUGUCGCAGCUAACGCAUUAAGUUCCCCGCCUGGGGAGUACGGCCGCAAGGCUAAAACUCAAAGGAAUUGACGGGGGCCCGCACAAGCGGCGGAGCAUGCGGAUUAAUUCGAUGCAACGCGAAGAACCUUACCAAGACUUGACAUAUACGAGAACGGGCUAGAAAUAGUUCACUCUUUGGACACUCGUAAACAGGUGGUGCAUGGUUGUCGUCAGCUCGUGUCGUGAGAUGUUGGGUUAAGUCCCGCAACGAGCGCAACCCUCGUUCUUUGUUGCCAGCACGUAAUGGUGGGAACUCAAAGGAGACUGCCGGGGUCAACUCGGAGGAAGGUGGGGAUGACGUCAAAUCAUCAUGCCCCUUAUGUCUUGGGCUUCACGCAUGCUACAAUGGCCGAUACAAAGGGCUGCAAUACCGCGAGGUAGAGCGAAUCCCAAAAAGUCGGUCUCAGUUCGGAUUGAGGUCUGCAACUCGACCUCAUGAAGUCGGAGUCGCUAGUAAUCGCAGAUCAGCAACGCUGCGGUGAAUACGUUCCCGGGCCUUGUACACACC